UGGCGGCAGGCCUAACACAUGCAAGUCGAGCGGAAACGAGUUAUCUGAACCUUCGGGGAACGAUAACGGCGUCGAGCGGCGGACGGGUGAGUAAUGCCUAGGAAAUUGCCCUGAUGUGGGGGAUAACCAUUGGAAACGAUGGCUAAUACCGCAUGAUGCCUACGGGCCAAAGAGGGGGACCUUCGGGCCUCUCGCGUCAGGAUAUGCCUAGGUGGGAUUAGCUAGUUGGUGAGGUAAGGGCUCACCAAGGCGACGAUCCCUAGCUGGUCUGAGAGGAUGAUCAGCCACACUGGAACUGAGACACGGUCCAGACUCCUACGGGAGGCAGCAGUGGGGAAUAUUGCACAAUGGGCGCAAGCCUGAUGCAGCCAUGCCGCGUGUGUGAAGAAGGCCUUCGGGUUGUAAAGCACUUUCAGUCGUGAGGAAGGUAGUGUAGUUAAUAGCUGCAUUAUUUGACGUUAGCGACAGAAGAAGCACCGGCUAACUCCG
This 489-nucleotide ribosomal RNA is filed under the name marine sediment bacterium ISA-2725. RNAcentral describes it as "bacterial SSU rRNA". It matches the Rfam family "Bacterial small subunit ribosomal RNA", at positions 37 to 505 of the family's 1533-position model. RNAcentral also lists the same sequence under 2 other names. The record is from RNAcentral.